UACAGAGGGGGCAAGCGUUGUUCGGAAUUACUGGGCGUAAAGGGCGCGUAGGUGGCCUUCUAAGUUGAACGUGAAAUCCCUGGGCUCAACCCAGGAACUGCGUCCAAGACUGGGAGGCUUGAAUCCGGGAGAGGGAUGCGGAAUUCCAGGUGUAGCGGUGAAAUGCGUAGAUAUCUGGAGGAACACCGGUGGCGAAGGCGGCAUCCUGGACCAACACUGACACUGAUGAGCGAAAGCCAGGGGAGCAAACGGG
This 253-nucleotide ribosomal RNA is filed under the name uncultured bacterium. Its description in RNAcentral is "partial 16S ribosomal RNA". It matches the Rfam family "Bacterial small subunit ribosomal RNA", at positions 524 to 776 of the family's 1533-position model. The record is from RNAcentral.